AGGGAUAACCGCUGAAAGCAUCUAAGCGGGAAGCCCACUCCAAGAUUAGAUAUCCCGUGGGGUAAUACCCACCUAAAGGCUCGUUGAAGACUACAACGUCGAUAGGCCAGGUGUGGAAGUGUAGCGAUACAUGGAGCUUACUGGUACUAAUCAGCCGUGCGGCUUAACCAUAU
This 173-nucleotide ribosomal RNA is filed under the name Desulfobulbaceae bacterium. Its description in RNAcentral is "partial 23S ribosomal RNA". It matches the Rfam family "Bacterial large subunit ribosomal RNA", at positions 2759 to 2925 of the family's 2925-position model. Lineage: Bacteria; Pseudomonadati; Thermodesulfobacteriota; Desulfobulbia; Desulfobulbales; Desulfobulbaceae. The record is from RNAcentral.